RNAcentral lists this ribosomal RNA (499 nucleotides) under uncultured Glomeromycotina. RNAcentral's name for it is "partial small subunit ribosomal RNA". It matches the Rfam family "Eukaryotic small subunit ribosomal RNA", at positions 591 to 1092 of the family's 1831-position model. The record is from RNAcentral. Lineage: Eukaryota; Fungi; Glomeromycota.
CCAAUAGCGUAUAUUAAAGUUGUUGCAGUUAAAAAGCUCGUAGUUGAAUUUCGGGAUCAAUAUGUCGGUCGUGCCUCGGUACGUACUGGCGUCAUUGGUUUCUCCCUUCUGAAGAACCGCGAUGUCAUUAAUUUGGUGUCGUGGGGAAUCAGGACUGUUACUUUGAAAAAAUUAGAGUGUUUAAAGCAGGCUCGCGCUUGAAUACAUUAGCAUGGAAUAAUGAAAUAGGACGUUUGAUUCUAUUUUGUUGGUUUCUAGGAUCGACGUAAUGAUUAAUAGGGAUAGUUGGGGGCAUUAGUAUUCAAUUGUCAGAGGUGAAAUUCUUGGAUUUAUUGAAGACUAACUACUGCGAAAGCAUUUGCCAAGGAUGUUUUCAUUAAUCAAGAACGAAAGUUAGGGGAUCGAAGACGAUCAGAUACCGUCGUAGUCUUAACCAUAAACUAUGCCGACUAGGGAUCGGAUGAUGUUAAUUUUUUAAUGACUCAUUCGGCGCCUUACG